Molecule: ribosomal RNA, 402 nt
Filed under: Bacteroidota bacterium
Lineage: Bacteria; Pseudomonadati; Bacteroidota
Description: Bacteroidetes bacterium partial 16S ribosomal RNA
Rfam family: Bacterial small subunit ribosomal RNA
Source: RNAcentral
UGGGGAAUUUUGCACAAUGGGGGAAACCCUGAUGCAGCGACGCCGCGUGAUUUAGAAGGCCUUCGGGUUGUAAAAAUCUUUUCUAUGGGAAGAAAAUGACAGUACCAUAGGAAUAAGGACCGGCUAAUUACGUGCCAGCAGCCGCGGUAAUACGUAAGGUCCGAGCGUUGUCCGGAAUCAUUGGGCGUAAAGGGUACGUAGGCGGGUAAGCAAGUUAGAAGUGAAAUCCUGUAGCUCAACUACAGUAAGCUUUUAAAACUGCUCAUCUUGAGAUAUGGAACGGAAAGUGGAAUUCCUAGUGUAGCGGUGAAAUGCGCAGAUAUUAGGAGGAAUACCGUUGGCGAAGGCGACUUUCUGGCCAUAAUCUGACGCUGAGUUACGAAAGCGUGGGUAGCAAACAGG